GAUGAACGCUAGCGGCAGGCUUAAUACAUGCAAGUCGUGGGGCAGCAUGAGUAGCAAUACUUGAUGGCGACCUGCAAACGGGUGAGGAACACGUACACAACCUUCCUUCAAGCGGGGAAUAGCCCAGAGAAAUUUGGAUUAAUACCCCAUAAUAUAUUUGAUAAGGCAUCUUAUUAAAUAUUAAAAGCUUCGGCACUUGAUGAUGGGUGUGCGGCUGAUUAGAUAGUUGGCGGGGUAACGGCCCACCAAGUCUACGAUCAGUAGCUGAUGUGAGAGCAAUGAUCAAGCCACACGGGCACUGAGACACGGGCCCGACUCCUACGGGAGGCAGCAGUAAGGAAUAUU
This 345-nucleotide ribosomal RNA is filed under the name uncultured bacterium. Its description in RNAcentral is "bacterial SSU rRNA". It matches the Rfam family "Bacterial small subunit ribosomal RNA", at positions 28 to 365 of the family's 1533-position model. The record is from RNAcentral.